This 2020-nucleotide long non-coding RNA is filed under the name Homo sapiens (human). RNAcentral's name for it is "HSALNT0357235". Lineage: Eukaryota; Metazoa; Chordata; Mammalia; Primates; Hominidae. The record is from RNAcentral.
GCUGCGAGCGUGAGCUGCGCGCCGAGAGCGGAAGAGGAGACGCAGUUUGGCGGCUGUGGGGAUUUGCCGGAAGGUUAAUAAUGUCCAUGGGCACAUCGGCCUCCUCCUUUCUUAUUCUCUCCCAAGUGUAAUUCCAGGACGCCCCCUGAGCGCAGAUUCAUCCAGGCAUUUGGCCUAGAGGCCCGCGGAGGAGAAAUAAAGUACAGGCCUGGUAGGACCUUUGAGAACCUGGGCUUCAGCUACAAAACCAGAGCCCCAGUCCUUCAUCUGCUGUCUCCUCAAGCUCUUUUCAGUGUAUUGUGGAGUUCAUUACCACUCUAAGCUCGCACGGAAGUGUACACCAGCUUCGUGAUCUUAAAAGCAAAACAAAAUCAAAUGGACUAGGAAUUAACUUGAAGCAGAGUUGUGACACUUAAGUGGUUUCUUGCCAUCAGUUUCCACGCACUGCUUUAAGAUGCAAUUUUACAAGGGCAUUAACAACAAAAAGGUUGAGAAACACUGUAGCAGGAGAAGAUGCAACAACAACCAAAAAAGACAUUUUUUAAAGAGGAUGUCUCUACAUGCCUUUGAUCGUCAGAUCUCUGAAGUAUUUACUGAAGAGGUCUUCCUAUUCCCUGAGACACAACAAUAUUGAAAUAGGGCCAAUUAAUAACCCUACAAUGGUCUGUAAUUGUGCAAGUGGAAGAAAGAAUCGUGUGCCUCUCGCUUUAAAUCAAAAGCUAGAAAUGAUUAAGCUGACUGAGGAAGGCAUGUUUGAAGCUGAAACAGACUGAAAGCAAGUCCUCUUGCACCAAAAGGCCAAGUUGUUAAAGCAAAGGAAAAAUUAUUGAAGUAAAUUAAGUGCUACUCUAGUAAACACAAUUGAUAAGAAAGCAAAACAGCCUUAUUGCUGGUACAGAGAAAGUUUGAGUCGUUUGGGUAGAAGAUCAAACCAGCCACAACAUUCCCUUAAGCAAAAGCCUAAUCCAGAGGGCCCUAACUCUCUUCAAUUCUAUGAAGACUAAGAGAGGUGAGAAAGCUGCAGAAGAAAAGUUGGAAGCUAGUAGAGUUUGGUUCAUGAGGUUUAAGGAAAAAAGCCAUCGCUAUAACGUAACAGGUCAAGAAGGAAGUGUUGAUGUAGAAGCUACAGCAAGUUAUCUGAAAGAUCUAGCUGACUAGAACCCAGACAGGACUCUGACUCAGCCUCCACGCAGACAACAGCAAGGCCAUAGAGAUGGUGGAGCCAUACACCGAAGGAACCUGAGUCACUCUGUGACUGCCCAGAGAAAAGCUGUCCCAUUCACCUGAACUGGACACCUUGGACUAUUAUGUGGAAGGGAAAUAAACUUCUUUGCUCUUUAGGCUGCAUCACUGGAUCUCUUCCCAUGACUUACCCUUUGCCCCAGCUAAUGCAUCUGGGAUUUGGAAAAUGCUCAAUCUAUACUUACUGGAUUUUUUACAUUUUAAAAAAUAAAAAUAGGCUCAUGCCUGUAAUCCCAGUGCUUUGGGAGGCCUAGGCAGGCAGAUCACUUGAGGUCAGGACUUUGAGACCAGCCUGGCCAACAUGGUGAAACCUCGUCUUUACUAAAAAUACAAAACUUAGCCAGGUGUGGUGGCAGGUGCCUGUAAUCCCAGCUACUCAGGAGGCUAAGGCCAGAAAAUCGCUUAAACCCGGGAGGUGGAGGUUGCAGUGAGCUGAGAUCGCACCACAGCACUCCAGCCUAAGCGACAGAAUGAGACCCUGUAACAAAAUAAUAAAAUAAAAUAAAAUAAAAAUAAAACAAAAAGCAAAUAUAAAUAUUAAUUGGAUUCCUAAUAUAGAGAACGGCAUAUGUAGCAUAGCCAAAAAGAACCUAGUCACUAAAAGAGGUAAUGAGCAUGCCCAAAACAAGAGGCUAAUGACAAGAUUAGUGAGAAAUUAUCAGUGGUGAUUAAGUUGGGAAAGUAUUUAUGGCUACUAUUAUAAAGUAUAAAUUUUUUUUCCCAACUCUCAUGUACCUACCCCUUACAAUGAAUAAAUGUUAGCAUUUUUAAAAAUUUA